This 256-nucleotide long non-coding RNA is filed under the name Ananas comosus (pineapple). RNAcentral describes it as "long non-coding RNA (ACOM_LNC033279)". Lineage: Eukaryota; Viridiplantae; Streptophyta; Magnoliopsida; Poales; Bromeliaceae. The record is from RNAcentral.
CGAAAUCCGCCAACCUAUAAAAUCCUUAACAAAGCUCUCGGGGACCGGUCUCUCAGGUAAGGACCGAUCUCCCGAGGACCGAUCUCUCGGGGAGAGACCGGUUCCCGAACGCGUGAUAUCUGGGGAGGCACUGGGGGACCGGUCCCAGACAGGAGAGACCGGUCCCUCGGCGCGCAGACAGCCCAGUAAGGGCAGUGCAUAGAGACAAAAGUUGAGGGGUUUUUAUGCAAAAUGGCAUUAGUUGGAGGGUGAUAAG